AUUUAUAUAGUUUAAUAAAAACUUUACAUUUUCAUUGUAAAAAUAAAAAAAUUUUUUUUUUAUAAAUU
This 68-nucleotide transfer RNA is filed under the name Celastrina oreas. Its description in RNAcentral is "tRNA-Glu". The record is from RNAcentral. Lineage: Eukaryota; Metazoa; Arthropoda; Insecta; Lepidoptera; Lycaenidae. RNAcentral also lists the same sequence under 1 other name.